This 501-nucleotide ribosomal RNA is filed under the name uncultured bacterium. RNAcentral describes it as "partial 16S ribosomal RNA". It matches the Rfam family "Bacterial small subunit ribosomal RNA", at positions 30 to 523 of the family's 1533-position model. The record is from RNAcentral.
AUUGAACGCUGGCGGCAGGCUUAACACAUGCAAGUCGAGCGGGGGAAGGUAGCUUGCUACCGGACCUAGCGGCGGACGGGUGAGUAAUGCUUAGGAAUCUGCCUAUUAGUGGGGGACAACAUCUCGAAAGGGAUGCUAAUACCGCAUACGUCCUACGAGAGAAAGCAGGGGAUCUUCGGACCUUGCGCUAAUAGAUGAGCAUAAGUCGGAUUAGCUAGUUGGUGGGGUAAAGGCCUACCAAGGCGACGAUCUGUAGCGGGUCUGAGAGGAUGAUCCGCCACACUGGGACUGAGACACGGCCCAGACUCCUACGGGAGGCAGCAGUGGGGAAUAUUGGACAAUGGGGGGAACCCUGAUCCAGCCAUGCCGCGUGUGUGAAGAAGGCCUUAUGGUUGUAAAGCACUUUAAGCGAGGAGGAGGCUACUCUAGUUAAUACCUAGGGAUAGUGGACGUUACUCGCAGAAUAAGCACCGGCUAACUCUGUGCCAGCAGCCGCGGUAA